RNAcentral lists this ribosomal RNA (495 nucleotides) under uncultured bacterium. Its description in RNAcentral is "partial 16S ribosomal RNA". It matches the Rfam family "Bacterial small subunit ribosomal RNA", at positions 28 to 507 of the family's 1533-position model. The record is from RNAcentral.
GACGAACGCUGGCGGCGUGCCUAAUACAUGCAAGUCGAACGCUGAAGGAGGAGCUUGCUUCUCUGGAUGAGUUGCGAACGGGUGAGUAACGCGUAGGUAACCUGCCUGGUAGCGGGGGAUAACUAUUGGAAACGAUAGCUAAUACCGCAUAAUAGUAGAUGUUGCAUGACAUUUGCUUAAAAGGUGCAAUUGCAUCACUACCAGAUGGACCUGCGUUGUAUUAGCUAGUUGGUGAGGUAACGGCUCACAAAGGCGACGAUACAUAGCCGACCUGAGAGGGUGGUCGGCCACACUGGGACUGAGACACGGCCCAGACUCCUACGGGAGGCAGCAGUAGGGAAUCUUCGGCAAUGGACGGAAGUCUGACCGAGCAACGCCGCGUGAGUGAAGAAGGUUUUCGGAUCGUAAAGCUCUGUUGUAAGAGAAGAACGAGUGUGAGAGUGGAAAGUUCACACUGUGACGGUAUCUUACCAGAAAGGGACGGCUAACUACGUG